Long non-coding RNA from Hylaeus volcanicus, 689 nucleotides. RefSeq lists it as uncharacterized. The transcript is spliced from 3 exons. Lineage: Eukaryota; Metazoa; Arthropoda; Insecta; Hymenoptera; Colletidae. The record is from RefSeq and is a predicted model, not a curated record.
CCGUUUGUGAUUGUCUUUUAUGAGGGUAUGUGUAUUGAUUUUUUUUUUUUUUACUUUUGCUCUUUUUCCUGAAGUAAAUUGAUCUGUUUGCAACGUUAAUUCCUAUCAACAAACAAGACCAUUAAUUUCAAAAAAUUUUGUGGCGUAUUUCUUUGAAGUUUAACGUUUGCUUGAUUUCGCAUCUUUACCUGACACGCAGAUUAAACUUUCUACCAUUUGCGUAAUGCAAGUGACAGUUUCUAUAGUUAAAUUGAUCGUAUUUUUUUUUAAAAAAAUGUCGCUUCAAGUGAGUCGCAUGGUGGAAAAAAGUUGCAGCCACCUUAGAUAUUUAAAACGUAAGAUGUUUUCGUGAAGUUCAUAGCUAGGUUCUACCCUCAUUCCCGAGGGUUCCGACUAAGUGUUACCUUGAUUACAAGAAAUUGAUCACAGUCUCUUAAAGGACGGUUUUCAUGAAUUUAUGUUUUGGGGACCAAUUAAGUAUAAUUUCCUUGUUAAACAGUCGAUCAAAUACCUGUUUUUUUUUACAACAAUUUGCUGAUACUAUAUUACUUUUUUGUUUUUUUUCUUAUAUUCGUAAUUGGUUUGCCUAUUGUUUACACUUUUUAACAAAAUUACUGAUUUCGAAUUAAUUAAAAUUUUCAACUUUUGGAAACUUUAAAAAGACAAAAAAAAUGAAGUAAAUGAUAAAG